GAUGAAGAACGUAGCGAAGUGCGAUAAGUAAUGUGAAUUGCAGAAUUCCGUGAAUCAUCGAAUCUUUGAACGCAAAUUGCACUUUCUGGUAUUCCGGAGAGUAUGCCUGUUUGAGGGUCAGUGUAAUAAAUAAAUCGUGGUUGUUACCACCUUUCGUGGUGACGCUUCGGAAUUGAGUCGUCUUACCUUCGGGUUAAGUGACUUAAAAUUUUUUUCAUACGAUUUCGAAACGUAUUUAAUGUAUUAUGUACGUACGUUCACGAAUAUCGAAUGUUUAUUAGGUGCGGUCAUUUUUCAUGAAUCGUGUCUAUAAUUUUUUUUUUUUGACCUCAAAUCAGGUAAGAAUACCCGCUGAACUUAAGCAUAUCAAUAAGCGGAGGA
This 381-nucleotide unclassified non-coding RNA is filed under the name soil metagenome. Its description in RNAcentral is "partial contains 5.8S ribosomal RNA, internal transcribed spacer 2, and large subunit ribosomal RNA". The stretch from base 1 to 120 matches the Rfam family "5.8S ribosomal RNA", at positions 35 to 154 of the family's 154-position model. The record is from RNAcentral.